RNAcentral lists this ribosomal RNA (253 nucleotides) under uncultured bacterium. RNAcentral's name for it is "partial 16S ribosomal RNA". It matches the Rfam family "Bacterial small subunit ribosomal RNA", at positions 524 to 776 of the family's 1533-position model. The record is from RNAcentral.
UACGUAGGGUGCAAGCGUUGUCCGGAAUUAUUGGGCGUAAAGAGCUCGUAGGCGGUUCGUCACGUCGGCUGUGAAAUCCCGAGGCUCAACCUCGGGUCUGCAGUCGAUACGGGCGGACUGGAGUACUGCAGGGGAGACUGGAAUUCCUGGUGUAGCGGUGGAAUGCGCAGAUAUCAGGAGGAACACCGAUGGCGAAGGCAGAUCUCUGGGCCGUAACUGACGCUGAGGAGCGAAAGCGUGGGGAGCGAACAGG